RNAcentral lists this ribosomal RNA (429 nucleotides) under uncultured bacterium. RNAcentral's name for it is "bacterial SSU rRNA". It matches the Rfam family "Bacterial small subunit ribosomal RNA", at positions 30 to 455 of the family's 1533-position model. The record is from RNAcentral.
AUUGAACGCUGGCGGCAUGCCUUACACAUGCAAGUCGAACGGCAGCAUGGAAGAGCUUGCUCUUCUGAUGGCGAGUGGCGAACGGGUGAGUAAAGCAUCGGAACGUACCGUGUAGUGGGGGAUAACGUAGCGAAAGUUACGCUAAUACCGCAUACGCACUGAGGUGGAAAGCAGGGGAUCGCAAGACCUUGCGCUAUACGAGCGGCCGAUGUCAGAUUAGCUAGUUGGUAGGGUAAAGGCCUACCAAGGCGACGAUCUGUAGCGGGUCUGAGAGGAUGAUCCGCCACACUGGGACUGAGACACGGCCCAGACUCCUACGGGAGGCAGCAGUGGGGAAUUUUGGACAAUGGGCGGAAAGACCUGAUCCAGCCAUGCCGCGUGAGUGAAGAAGGCCUCGGUGUAAGAUCUUCGUCUGGGAAGGAAAGUACG